AACAGUUCACAGCAGCGUUGUUUAUUAGGAGAAAACGUUCAAACAACUUAAAUGUCCAUCAAUAAGAAAAUGGAUUUAAAAAUCGUAGUAUAUUUGUACAAUGGAAUUCUAUUCUGCAAUUAAGAUGAAUGAACAUGAGAGGGCAUAUAAAGGAAGGCUUCCAUGUCCUGGAUUUUCACAGAUGACUUCAGAAGCUGACAGUCCUGUCUGCAUGUUUUUCUCAUGCCAAGAGGAAGUCAUGGUUAAAACCCUGGAGCCAGACUGCCUGGACUCAAAUCCCAGCUCUGCCAUUUCCCAGCUGUGUGACCUCAGAUUGCUCAUUAGUUGCAAAGAGAAGCCGAGUAACUAUCCAGUGGAGAAAGAAGAUCAUGUCUUCAUCAAAAUUAACAUCGGUAAUGAGGGACAGAUGGACAUCAUGUGCCUCCAGACGGGACACUCUGAGAAGAACACAACAUGACUUUGCUAGUGUUUCGGCAUCACCAGAAUCCAACCAUGAGGAAUCAUCCAACAAACCCCCAACGGUGAACAUUUUAUUAAGUUAGUUAGUUAUUUUAUCACGGUAAAAAACAUAACAUAAUACCAUCUUAACCAUUUUUAAGCAUACAAUACAGUAGUGUUAACUAUAUGCACAUUGUUGUGCAACAGAUCUCUAGAACUUUUUCAUCUUGAGAAACCAAAACUCUGUAUCCAUUGAACAACUCUCCUUUUCCCCCCUCCCCCAAAGACACUGGCAACCACCAUUCUACUGGCUGCUUUUAAGAAUCUGACUGUUUUACACACUUCAUAUAUGUGGAAUUGUGCAGUAUUUGUCUUUUUAUGACUAGUUUAUUUCAUUUAGCAUAAUGUCCUCAAGUUUCAUGCAUGUUGUAGCAUUUGGCAAGAUUUCUUUUCUUUUUUAAGGCUGAAUAAUAUUCCAUUGUAUAUUGAAUAUAUAGUUACAUAUGCCACAUUUUGUUUCUCCAUUCAUAAUAGCUAUUGAUGGACAUUUAGGUUGCUUCACCCUCUUGGCUAUUGUGAGUAGUGCUGCUAUGGACAUGGGUGUGCAAAUAUUUCUUCACGAUCCUGCUUUCAAUUCUUUUGGCUAUAUACCUCGAAGUGGGAUUUCUGGAUCAUAUGGUAAUACUAUUUUUAAUUUUUUGAGAAACUGCCAUACUGUUUUCCAUAGUGGC
RNAcentral lists this long non-coding RNA (1169 nucleotides) under Equus caballus (horse). RNAcentral's name for it is "lncRNA (ENSECAG00000057466.1)". The record is from RNAcentral. Lineage: Eukaryota; Metazoa; Chordata; Mammalia; Perissodactyla; Equidae.